AUUGAACGCUGGCGGAAUGCUUUACACAUGCAAGUCGAGCGGCAGCGCGGGGCAACCUGGCGGCGAGCGGCGAACGGGUGAGUAAUACAUCGGAACGUGCCCAGACGUGGGGGGAUAACUACUCGAAAGAGUGGCUAAUACCGCAUACGAUCUAAGGAUGAAAGCGGGGGGAUCGCAAGACCUCGCGCGUUUGGAGCGGCCGAUGGCAGAUUAGGUAGUUGGUGGGGUAAAGGCUUACCAAGCCCGCGAUCUGUAGCUGGUCUGAGAGGAUGAUCAGCCACACUGGGACUGAGACACGGCCCAGACUCCUACGGGAGGCAGCAGUGGGGAAUUUUGGACAAUGGGCGAAAGCCUGAUCCAGCCAUUCCGCGUGCAGGAUGAAGGCCCUCGGGUUGUAAACUGCUUUUGUACAGAACGAAAAAGACUCUUUCUAAUACAGAGAGUCCAUGACGGUACUGUAAGAAUAAGCACCGGCUAACCACGUGCCAGCAG
RNAcentral lists this ribosomal RNA (492 nucleotides) under uncultured bacterium. RNAcentral's name for it is "bacterial SSU rRNA". It matches the Rfam family "Bacterial small subunit ribosomal RNA", at positions 30 to 514 of the family's 1533-position model. The record is from RNAcentral.